AUGGGAACGCGAAGAACCUUACCUAGACUUGACAUCCCCUGAAUUACCAUGUAAUGUGGGAAGCCCUUCGGGGCAGGGAGACAGGUGGUGCAUGGUUGUCGUCAGCUCGUGUCGUGAGAUGUUGGGUUAAGUCCCGCAACGAGCGCAACCCUUAUUACUAGUUGCUACCAUUAAGUUGAGCACUCUAGUGAGACUGCCCGGGUUAACCGGGAGGAAGGCGGGGAUGACGUCAAAUCAUCAUGCCCCUUAUGUCUAGGGCAACACACGUGCUACAAUGGUGAGUACAGAUAGAUGCGAUACCGCAAGGUGGAGCCAAACUCUAAAACUCAUCCCAGUUCGGAUUGUAGGCUGCAACUCGCCUACAUGAAGUUGGAGUUGCUAGUAAUCGCGAAUCAGAAUGUCGCGGUGAAUACGUUCCCGGGUCUUGUACACACCG
RNAcentral lists this ribosomal RNA (436 nucleotides) under uncultured bacterium. Its description in RNAcentral is "bacterial SSU rRNA". It matches the Rfam family "Bacterial small subunit ribosomal RNA", at positions 954 to 1392 of the family's 1533-position model. The record is from RNAcentral.